This 468-nucleotide ribosomal RNA is filed under the name uncultured bacterium. Its description in RNAcentral is "partial 16S ribosomal RNA". It matches the Rfam family "Bacterial small subunit ribosomal RNA", at positions 28 to 507 of the family's 1533-position model. The record is from RNAcentral.
GACGAACGCUGGCGGCGUGCUUAACACAUGCAAGUCGAACGGAAAGGCCCUGCUUUUGUGGGGUGCUCGAGUGGCGAACGGGUGAGUAACACGUGAGUAGCCUGCCCUUGACUUUGGGAUAACUUCAGGAAACUGGGGCUAAUACCGGAUAGGAGCUCCUGCUCCAUGGUGGGGGUUGGAAAGUUUCGGCGGUUGGGGAUGGACUCGCGGCUUAUCAGCUUGUUGGUGGGGUAGUGGCUUACCAAGGCUUUGACGGGUAGCCGGCCUGAGAGGGUGACCGGCCACAUUGGGACUGAGAUACGGCCCAGACUCCUACGGGAGGCAGCAGUGGGGAAUAUUGCACAAUGGGCGGAAGCCUGAUGCAGCAACGCCGCGUGCGGGAUGACGGCCUUCGGGUUGUAAACCGCUUUCGCCUGUGACGAAGCGUGAGUGACGGUAAUGGGUAAAGAAGCACCGGCUAACUACGUG